RNAcentral lists this small RNA (28 nucleotides) under Bombyx mori (domestic silkworm). RNAcentral's name for it is "ovarian small RNA-21340". The record is from RNAcentral. Lineage: Eukaryota; Metazoa; Arthropoda; Insecta; Lepidoptera; Bombycidae.
UACUAUUACAAACUUAUAAGUCUUUUAU